RNAcentral lists this ribosomal RNA (253 nucleotides) under uncultured bacterium. Its description in RNAcentral is "partial 16S ribosomal RNA". It matches the Rfam family "Bacterial small subunit ribosomal RNA", at positions 524 to 776 of the family's 1533-position model. The record is from RNAcentral.
UACGUAGGGGGCGAGCGUUGUCCGAAGUUACUGGGCGUAAAGAGCGCGUAGGCGGGUCUUUAAGUGAGGGGUGAAAGGUUCGGGCUCAACCCGGACACUGCCUUUCAUACUGGGGACCUUGAGUGCGGGAGGGGCGAGUGGAAUGGUCGGUGUAGCGGUGAAAUGCGUAGAUAUCAGGAGGAACACCAGUGGCGAAGGCGGCUUUCUGGACGGUAACUGACGCUGAGACGCGAAAGCGUGGGGAGCAAACAGG